Long non-coding RNA from Corapipo altera (White-ruffed manakin), 1221 nucleotides. RefSeq lists it as uncharacterized. NCBI's taxonomy places the organism in Eukaryota, Metazoa, Chordata, Aves, Passeriformes, Pipridae. The transcript is spliced from 3 exons. The record is from RefSeq and is a predicted model, not a curated record.
GCGGAUUUUCCCCCGUCUUCGUGGGAAAGCGGUGUGUAAAUCCAAACAGAUUUUUAUCCGACUAGCUCAGCUGGUGUAAUACUAUUAAAACAUAUUUGAAUUUUUCAGCCGCAGCACGGCCAACUAUUUUCAAAUUAUCCAAGUGUUUCUAAUUACAAAUACUGAAUCUGAUAAAACCUGGUAAGAUGCUGAGCCCAGGGGCUGAUCCUGUAGCCUGUUCUGUGUGAGGGAUUCAGCCACAGGGAGGCGCAAAGUAAAGAAGAAAUUUUAAGAUUUGACUGCUCCUAAAUUGUGUUUUUCCAAUUAUGAUGGCAGAUGCAUUGGUGUAUUUGGAUAAAACACAGCAAGCAUAGUAAUAUAUGACCAAUCUCUUGGGUUUUUUUUCGCCACCAAAAGAGGAAAAAAAAAAAAAGGAUAGUAAGACUAAAGGAUCGUCUGGCACAUUUCUACUGAGAUGAUUAAAAAAAAAUUAAAUCUGUGACAUUACUUACACAACCUGUUAAACCCUAAAGCAAACAAUUUUGUCCCAUAGCUAAUUAUCCACAGAAUACAAAAUUUUGAAUGAGUCAAUAGUCACAACUAUAAUGCAUUAUAUUACUAAAUUUGAUUUUAAAAAUAGUUGUGAAUUACUGUGAUACUAUGUAUUACAGUAGCAAUGACUAGAUGACUUGCAGUGUCACCUGUUCUCUGAAGCCAAAUUUAAUAUUGUGCUGGCUCCAGAGGUUGUUGGAUUAGCUGUGCAUCUCAAACUUGUUCCUGUAAGGAGCUGGGAUUUUCUGUCUUGCUGGUUUGAGAGGUUUUUCCAACAUACCCUUUUCAAUCUCCUCCUUCAAGUCACCUCCAUGGAACUGCUAUUGUUGUAGGAAGGAAGGCUGAUAGUUCUUUUUGGAGGUUUUCACAUGUUUGGAUAGAGCUGUUCUGUGGCUCUGAAGGCUGCUGUGAAGUAUCCUAAAUUUUCAUGGCUUGAGGGAGAAGAGACCUGCUUUGACUUUAAAUAUAUUCACUCUCCAAAAUGACCUGAUAAAAGUAUUGAUCAUUUACAUUCUCUGCCCUAACCCUACACAUUCAUCCUGUACUGGUUGGAUGUGAGACAACAAGAACAUUCUGCAAUUGUUUCCUUCCUUCUUUUGCAGGAGAAGUGUUAACACAUUCUCAAAACAUACCCUCACGAUUUUUCCAUGCAAAUAAUCAAGCACGAUAAACAUCAGCAGAGGGCACUAU